RNAcentral lists this ribosomal RNA (460 nucleotides) under uncultured bacterium. RNAcentral's name for it is "partial 16S ribosomal RNA". It matches the Rfam family "Bacterial small subunit ribosomal RNA", at positions 338 to 795 of the family's 1533-position model. The record is from RNAcentral.
CCUACGGGAGGCAGCAGUGAGGAAUAUUGGUCAAUGGGCGCGAGCCUGAACCAGCCAAGCAGCGUGCAGGAUGACGGCCCUACGGGUUGUAAACUUCUUUUAUAAAGGAAUAAAGUGAGGCACGUGUGCCUUUUUGUAUGUACUUUAUGAAUAAGGAUCGGCUAACUCCGUGCCAGCAGCCGCGGUAAUACGGAGGAUCCGAGCGUUAUCCGGAUUUAUUGGGUUUAAAGGGAGCGUAGAUGGGUGGUUAAGUCAGUUGUGAAAGUUCGCGGCUCAACCUUAAAAUUGCAAUUGAUACUGGCCGGCUUGAGAACAGUUGCGGUAGGCGGAAUUCGUGGUGUAGCGGUGAAAUGCUUAGAUAUCACGCAGAACACCGAUUGCGAAGGCAGCUUACCAAGCUGCCACUGACAUUGAUGCUCGAAAGUGUGGGUAUCAAACAGGAUUAGAUACCCUAGUAGUC